Molecule: long non-coding RNA, 262 nt
Filed under: Fukomys damarensis (Damara mole-rat)
Lineage: Eukaryota; Metazoa; Chordata; Mammalia; Rodentia; Bathyergidae
Description: lncRNA (ENSFDAG00000025238.1)
Source: RNAcentral
UGAAGCCCCUAUCUGCUUCCUCCGAACCUUUAUCGGUUCCUGCAUUUCAUCCAAGGGGCUAUUCUGCAGGACCUGCCACUGUAGUCCUUGAAAUAUUAAGAUGAACAGAGCAGGCGAAAGGCCUUUCAGCUGUGGUGCUGUAUCCUGGGUAAUUCCAUUUUGCAUACCAAAAAAGAAGAAAAAGAGAGAGAGAGAGAGAGAGAGAGAGAGAACGAAGAAAGAAUAAUCUUGUGAGAGUGAAAAAUCUACAGAAAAAGACCCA